RNAcentral lists this ribosomal RNA (788 nucleotides) under uncultured Lactobacillus sp. RNAcentral describes it as "bacterial SSU rRNA". It matches the Rfam family "Bacterial small subunit ribosomal RNA", at positions 28 to 776 of the family's 1533-position model. Lineage: Bacteria; Bacillati; Bacillota; Bacilli; Lactobacillales; Lactobacillaceae. The record is from RNAcentral.
GACGAACGCUGGCGGCGUGCCUAAUACAUGCAAGUCGAGCGAGCUUGCCUAGAUGAAUUUGGUGCUUGCACCAAAUGAAACUAGAUACAAGCGAGCGGCGGACGGGUGAGUAACACGUGGGUAACCUGCCCAAGAGACUGGGAUAACACCUGGAAACAGAUGCUAAUACCGGAUAACAACACUAGACGCAUGUCUAGAGUUUAAAAGAUGGUUCUGCUAUCACUCUUGGAUGGACCUGCGGUGCAUUAGCUAGUUAGUAAGGUAACGGCUUACCAAGGCAAUGAUGCAUAGCCGAGUUGAGAGACUGAUCGGCCACAUUGGGACUGAGACACGGCCCAAACUCCUACGGGAGGCAGCAGUAGGGAAUCUUCCACAAUGGACGCAAGUCUGAUGGAGCAACGCCGCGUGAGUGAAGAAGGGUUUCGGCUCGUAAAGCUCUGUUGGUAGUGAAGAAAGAUAGAGGUAGUAACUGGCCUUUAUUUGACGGUAAUUACUUAGAAAGUCACGGCUAACUACGUGCCAGCAGCCGCGGUAAUACGUAGGUGGCAAGCGUUGUCCGGAUUUAUUGGGCGUAAAGCGAGUGCAGGCGGUUCAAUAAGUCUGAUGUGAAAGCCUUCGGCUCAACCGGAGAAUUGCAUCAGAAACUGUUGAACUUGAGUGCAGAAGAGGAGAGUGGAACUCCAUGUGUAGCGGUGGAAUGCGUAGAUAUAUGGAAGAACACCAGUGGCGAAGGCGGCUCUCUGGUCUGCAACUGACGCUGAGGCUCGAAAGCAUGGGUAGCGAACAGG